Molecule: unclassified non-coding RNA, 313 nt
Filed under: Hevea brasiliensis (rubber tree)
Lineage: Eukaryota; Viridiplantae; Streptophyta; Magnoliopsida; Malpighiales; Euphorbiaceae
Source: RNAcentral
CAGAAUCCAACUCAAAUUGUUACUGAAAUCUGUGGAUUUGUAACUAUCCUUUCUGGAACCUUUCUUCUUCACAGAACAAAGGACAUGGUUGAGGGUUCAUCACCAUCUCUAUCAUCGCGACUUCCCAAGCACACACAAGACAAUGUAUUUGAACCUGAAGGUAUCCCUCUUCGACGUUAGGAACCCCCACGACAUACUUGGCUGUAUGUAGUGAUUCAUUGGUCUACUUUCAUUCAAGAUCUUGCAUGUAUUUGGGGGGAGUGUUGGAUCCACGCCAUUAACAUGUACAUUACCAACACAUUGAGCUGGUCGC